ACGGAGGAUGCAAGCGUUAUCCGGAUUCACUGGGCUUAAAGGGCGCGUAGGCGGAAUGAUAAGUCAGCGGUGAAAUCCCACGGCUCAACUGUAGAACUGCCAUUGAUACUGUUGUUCUUGAGUACACUUGGAGUGGGCGGAAUGUGUCAUGUAGCGGUGAAAUUCUUAGAUAUGACACAGAACACCGAUCGCGAAGGCAUCUCACUAAGUUGUAACUGACGCUCAGGCACGAAAGCGUGGGGAUCAAACAG
This 251-nucleotide ribosomal RNA is filed under the name uncultured prokaryote. RNAcentral describes it as "partial 16S rRNA". It matches the Rfam family "Bacterial small subunit ribosomal RNA", at positions 525 to 775 of the family's 1533-position model. The record is from RNAcentral.